RNAcentral lists this long non-coding RNA (881 nucleotides) under Mytilus galloprovincialis (Mediterranean mussel). The record is from RNAcentral. Lineage: Eukaryota; Metazoa; Mollusca; Bivalvia; Mytilida; Mytilidae.
UAUACAUGUAGUGUCAAUCAUUAAGUUACUGCCUGCUAAGCAAUACCUGGAGUAUGUGUAAAGUUGAAUCUAGAUGACUCUGAUGUAUUCUGGUAGCUUGAUCAUUAAUAGCAGAAAAGAAAUUCAUUAGUCUUGUAAGUAUGAUUCGCAAUGUGGAACUUAAAUCUAAAUCUUUAAACUUGUAUGCAACAUUGUUUAAAUAUUUUCAGAUGUAUUCUUUGUUUUCCUGGACCUCUAUGAGUACAAGUAACAUUUUCAUUAUAUGCAUUGAAAUUAAAAAUUAUACAUGUUCACCUGUCCCAUGAUUUUGACAAAAAAGAUGAAAUACCCAAUAUAUAUACACUUUCAGCAUGUUUUAUAUCUGUUCCAUUACAAAUUAUAAAAAAAAAAGAAAAUAAAGGAUAUAGUUCAGAGUUUUGUAUAACGUCUAUUAACACUGAACUAGUAUACAUUUUGUUAAGUGGCUAGCUGUAGCACGCCUCCGGGUGCGGGAUUUUCUCACUGUAUUGAAGAUACAUUGGUGGCUUUUGGCUGUUUUCUACUCUUUGGUCGGGUUUUCUUUUUGACACAUUCCCUAUUUCAUGUAUUUACAUUCUCACUUUAAUGAAAUUUUUGGCUUAGAGAUUGGAUGACCAGUAAGUCAAAAUAUUUUGAAAUAAUUACCGAAACCCCAGUAAAUGCACUGUUCUCGACACUGUAGAUAUGGAAAUGUCAAUGUCUUUCUUUUUCAGAGCUUCCUGCAGCUUUGGCAUGGUCACCGACUGGGAUUUCUUGUGCAGAUCAUAGAUGGUCCUCCUCACCACACCUUUGUCGAAAUCAUCCACCUUCUGAGUCUUGGUGACAGUUUUCUGGACAUAAUCCUUGUGAAUUGACUUGACCAC